GCCGGGCGUGGUGAUGCACAUCUGUAAUUCCAGCAGCUCUGGAGGCUGAGGCAGGAGGAUUGUGAGGUCAAAGCCAGCCUUAACAAAAGCAAGGCACUAAGCAACUCAGUGAGACUCUGUCUCUA
RNAcentral lists this small RNA (125 nucleotides) under Marmota monax (woodchuck). The record is from RNAcentral. Lineage: Eukaryota; Metazoa; Chordata; Mammalia; Rodentia; Sciuridae.